GGCGGCUGCGGAGGCGGCGGCGGCGGCCCUCUUCGCGCUGCGCCCUGGCUUCACUGCACGCUCGUCUGCAGCCCGUGGUGCGGCGGCGGCGUGUCGGCGCUCACGGUGCCCACCUGCGAGUAGACGUCGUCGGGCGUCUGCUGCUGGAUCCCGGGCGGCGUCAUGCGCUUCUCCUUUUGGCGCCGAUUGCAGAACCAGACCCGCACCACCUCCUUCUCGAGCUGCAGGCUGUCGGCCAGAUGGAGUCCCAUUCUGUUGCCCAGGCUGGAGUGCAGUGGUAUAAUCUUGGCUCAAUGCAACCUCCGCCUCCCAGGUUCCAGUGAUUCUCCUGCCUCAGCCUCCCAAGUAGCUGGGACUACAGUUCUGCAAGCUGAGAAGUCCAAGAUCACGAUGCUGGCUGAUCAAGGUUCCUGGUGAGGACUUUCUUCCUGGUUUGCAGAGAGAGAGAGAGAGAGAGAGAGAGAGAGAGCCAGACAGACAGACGGGUUUCUUCCCCUUUUUAUAAGGUCAUUAAUCUCAUAGUGACAGUGACACCUUCAUGACCUCAUUUAACCCAAAUCACCUCCCAAAGUCUCCACCUCCUGAUACGAUCACAUUGGGGGUUAAGGCUUCAACGUAUACAAUUUGAUGGGGACACAAGCAUUUAACCCAAAGCACCCUCCCACCAUGUCGACAGAGCUGUAGGAGGAAUUUAGCACAGCUGGGAAAAUUUCUCUGGCACAUAAUCAGGCAUUCAUUGUUGGUAAUCUCUAUCAAAAGCUUAUGAAGCAACACAAUGAUGCUGAAUAACAAACAAUUCUAAAUCUCAGUGAUUUAAAUUAACCAUCAUCUAUGCUCAUGCUUCCUGGGCUGCAGGUCAGCUGUGGCGUGGGUGAUCUACGUGGGUACAGCUAGGCACCUCUCCUCCAGGUAUGCCUUGCAGGUGCACGGGUCAGUUGGAAAAACUCUCUUUCAAGCCACAGUUUGUAUUCAGAUCUAUUUUAUCUGUCUCAUUCUGCAGUGAUCAUCACAGGGCAUAGAGCUAUCUGAUUUACAACCUUUUUAAGUUGCGAGUAGCAGCUCUCAAAGUGGUAUGUGUAAACAUGCAAUGCCUUAAGGCCUAGGUUCCAAAUUGAUAUAUGGUCAUUUCUGCCCGCAUUUCACUGGCCAAAAGAGUCCCAUAGUCAAGCUUGACAUCAAUAGGGUGAGAAAGUCAACUCUUGCCAUUGGAGGCCAGUAUGUUUCUGUGUUGGGGGCAGGAGAGGUACUGAAUAUUUGUUAAACAAUCAUUUAAUCUAUCACAACUAUAUUUACAGAAAGUCCUUUACUUUCUGACGUAGGCCUCUACACAUGAAUUAUUUCAAGUUUGCCCCCUUCCUGCUUUUUUUGGUUUUCCCCUGAGUUUGUUAUGAGUAGCCAGAAAGAUCUUCUCUCCUUAGGAAAAAUAUGUAGAAGAUUUAGAAACACCUGACUUUGCAUGAACUUCCAGAAAAAACAGCCAGACGUGGUCCAGUUGAGUCUCUGUCCUGCUGCUUGAGGAAGGGGACCAUGGGACGUGGGUCUAUGGGUCUCAUUUGGAUUUGAGGCCAUGUGUUGAGCCGCCCAGUACAGACCAGACAGCAGAAUGUCACCUCCGCAGAUGUGUACCUGACUUUACUGCUCCGAUUACAGCAUCACUUCUCCCCUGUCACCAACUGGCAACCCACAGCAAAGGAUGUUUUUCUGAUCAUUUUGCACUCAUUAAACGCAGCUGUCACAACAGUGGAUGCGAGGAUGCAUGCAAAACUUUUCUGCCACAUCAAAAUAAAGCUGAAAUGCUUUUUAAAAAAA
Long non-coding RNA from Macaca mulatta (Rhesus monkey), 1809 nucleotides. NCBI's taxonomy places the organism in Eukaryota, Metazoa, Chordata, Mammalia, Primates, Cercopithecidae. The record is from Ensembl.